Molecule: transfer RNA, 77 nt
Filed under: Vibrio phage Ceto
Lineage: Duplodnaviria; Heunggongvirae; Uroviricota; Caudoviricetes; Demerecviridae
Description: tRNA-Met
Source: RNAcentral
UGCGAGAAUGGAGAAAUGGCGUCUUGCGAGGUUCAUAUCCUCGAUAACGGGUGGUUCGAAUCCACCGCUCGCAUCCA